ACGCACGCUGGCGGCGUGCCUAAUACAUGCAAGUCGAACGCUUCUUUCCUCCCGAGUGCUUGCACUCAAUUGGAAAGAGGAGUGGCGGACGGGUGAGUAACACGUGGGUAACCUACCCAUCAGAGGGGGAUAACACUUGGAAACAGGUGCUAAUACCGCAUAACAGUUUAUGCCGCAUGGCAUAAGAGUGAAAGGCGCUUUCGGGUGUCGCUGAUGGAUGGACCCGCGGUGCAUUAGCUAGUUGGUGAGGUAACGGCUCACCAAGGCCACGAUGCAUAGCCGGCCUGAGAGGGUGAUCAGCCACACUGGGACUGAGACACGGCCCAGACUCCUACGGGAGGCAGCAGUAGGGAAUCUUCGGCAAUGGGCGAAAGUCUGACCGAGCAACGCCGCGUGAGUGAAGAAGGUUUUCGGAUCGUAAAACUCUGUUGUUAGAGAAGAACAAGGACGUUAGUAACUGAACGUCCCCUGACGGUAUCUAACCAGAAAGCCACGGCUAACUACGUG
RNAcentral lists this ribosomal RNA (507 nucleotides) under uncultured bacterium. RNAcentral describes it as "partial 16S ribosomal RNA". It matches the Rfam family "Bacterial small subunit ribosomal RNA", at positions 29 to 507 of the family's 1533-position model. The record is from RNAcentral.